Molecule: ribosomal RNA, 444 nt
Filed under: Triticum aestivum (bread wheat)
Lineage: Eukaryota; Viridiplantae; Streptophyta; Magnoliopsida; Poales; Poaceae
Description: partial small subunit ribosomal RNA
Source: RNAcentral
AUGCAUACGCGCGUACCGGUCAAUUUCGUUUUCGAGAGCGCAUCGAUUGGUAUUUUUCCCGAUCCGAAACAAAUUGCCCCCCAACCUUGUGAGCUGGAUUUUUCUUUGCUUUUUUUGUGGGCUAACACUUCUUCGGUCAGUUGCAGUGUUGAUCACUGUGUCAGAUGCGAAAUUUCGUUCGGAUUAUCACUUUUUUUGCAAUUUUAUUUUACAGAUGAUGUGAAGUCAGCAACGCAGCAACCACCGAAAGGAGAAAUUGCGGAGGGAUGCGCGGCAGAUGAUUUCAACGCGCCCCCAUGUGAUUCCACCAAGGAAGUUUCCACAAAGAACCUGGGACGUCUUAGAAAGCGAACAGCUGCUGGCGGUGCUGCAACUUCUGAGUUGCAUGAGGAUGAGCUAAAGGUUGCUGAUGUCAAGCUGAGCAAUGAUGAAGACUGGUCAUAA